ACUCCUACGGGAGGCAGCAGUGAGGGAUAUUGCACAAUGGGGGAAACCCUGAUCCAGCGAUGCCGCGUGAGGGAAGAAGGUUUUCGGAUUGUAAACCUCUGUUGAGGGGGACGAUAAUGACGGUACCCCUUUAGAAAGCCACGGCUAACUACGUGCCAGCAGCCGCGGUAAUAC
This 174-nucleotide ribosomal RNA is filed under the name uncultured bacterium. RNAcentral's name for it is "partial 16S ribosomal RNA". It matches the Rfam family "Bacterial small subunit ribosomal RNA", at positions 335 to 526 of the family's 1533-position model. The record is from RNAcentral.